GGUUGACCUCGGAUCAGGUAGGGAUACCCGCUGAACUUAAGCAUAUCAAUAAGCGGAGGAAAAGAAACCAACCGGGAUUGCCUCAGUAACGGCGAGUGAAGCGGCAAGAGCUCAAAUUUGAAAGCUGGCUCCUUCGGGGUCCGCAUUGUAAUUUGCAGAGGAUGCUUCGGGUGCAGCCCCCGUCUAAGUGCCCUGGAACGGGCCGUCAUAGAGGGUGAGAAUCCCGUAU
Molecule: ribosomal RNA, 229 nt
Filed under: Aspergillus allahabadii
Lineage: Eukaryota; Fungi; Ascomycota; Eurotiomycetes; Eurotiales; Aspergillaceae
Also listed under: 1 other name
Description: partial 28S ribosomal RNA
Rfam family: Eukaryotic large subunit ribosomal RNA
Source: RNAcentral